This 322-nucleotide long non-coding RNA is filed under the name Mytilus galloprovincialis (Mediterranean mussel). The record is from RNAcentral. Lineage: Eukaryota; Metazoa; Mollusca; Bivalvia; Mytilida; Mytilidae.
CAGAUAUUCAAAGAACAAAGAACAAAAAAGUGAACCGUGAUAUUCAUAUGCGGAUCUAGGAUAAAUUUUAAAAAGGGGGGUAUAACUGGGGGCACCAAGCUAUAAAAGUCUGUUUUGACCAGAUUUGUAGCCUUUAUAAGGGGUGACUGUGACCCGGGUCGCCUACCCCUAAAUUCGCUUCUGAAAUUAAAGGUAACCGCAGGGCCUUUAAACUCCAAGUUUCAUAUUUCUGGUCCGUGUUGAAAAUAAAUGAACAUGACUUUGAAAAAGCAAGAAUCAUAAGCUAAAAGUUUAAUGACGUCUAUUCAAAUGUUUGAAAUAA